Acanthosepion pharaonis is the source of this 113-nucleotide non-coding RNA. NCBI's taxonomy places the organism in Eukaryota, Metazoa, Mollusca, Cephalopoda, Sepiida, Sepiidae. The record is from the annotation of a GenBank genome assembly.
UACGGCCAAAAUACGUUGAAACACCGAUUCACGUAAGAUCACUGAAGUUAAGCAAUGUCGAGUCUGGUCAGUACCUAGAAGAGUGACCGCUCGAAAAUACUGGGGGCUGUAAG